Long non-coding RNA from Oryzias melastigma (Indian medaka), 1398 nucleotides. RefSeq lists it as uncharacterized. Lineage: Eukaryota; Metazoa; Chordata; Actinopteri; Beloniformes; Adrianichthyidae. The transcript is spliced from 3 exons. The record is from RefSeq and is a predicted model, not a curated record.
AUUAUUUUUAUACUAUUGUUUUUUGUUAUUCUUUCUUUACUCAAAUUCUAUGUUCAAAUAAUAGUUUAAUUAUGCAACUUUUGGAUAAAAACAAUGUUCAUGAAGGUGAAGCAUGUAAACAAUUACAUCUCACUGAAUGUUAUUCUAUACUUUCUUUAUAUUUUUCUAUUUUGAAAAUAUUAUGGAAGGUAUUAUUUAAAAUGUUCUCUUCUUUGUUAAAGUUUGAUUUAUUUACCAUUUUUAAGAACCAAAGACAUUUGUCAUUUAUCUAUUGUAAUGUACAAGACCACCACCGUCUCUUAAAGCUGAAAGAGGAAGUGAUGAUGCUCUCUCUUCCUCCUCUAAAUGCAUUCAGUUUUUUUUUAUGGUACUUGAAGAUUUCUUAUUCUGUCUGAUGUGCUGUUUCCUGCCAGUUACAGUUAAUUUAGUAUUUUCGUUUUGAAUUUUUUUUGGGGGGGGGGCAUUUUUGGAGAUUUUUAUCCGGGUCCUUUUUAUGACAAAUUUUAAAACCUCCAGCAACAAUUCAUCAGAAGUGCAGGUCAGACUUUCACUGCUGGACCUCACAGAAGACAAGACUUCCUCUUAGCAGCUUCAGAUGAUCCUCUCAGUUCUCCUCUGACCUGCUUGGACUCCUCUGCUGUCCUGACCUGUCAUCAUGGUACGGUCUCAAAGAACCAACAACUGUAGCUUCUACCCACAGCUGGUUUCUUCUCCUUCAAUGACAAAGAUCUCUCAAGUCUGCUCACACAGAUUCAUUCAGGACAACACAGACCUGUAAAAGGCCUGUCAGCCUCUGAAACCUGAAAAUGAUGCAGACUGAGAGAAUGCAGCAGUUGUGUCUGAGAACAAGCUGCAUCCUUCUGCACAUCAGCACAGUUUUCUGAGAACUACUGUGGGACUUCUGUUGGUUAAAUGAUCAACAUUUGCUGCAUUCCUGCUGCUACAGAUCACCAUCAUGACAGAGGAUGGACAAAGGACACCAAAGGACAAAAAAAAAUUUCCCCCACAACUUUCAAGUUUUUAUUUUUUGAUUUAAUCCCAAAUCAUCUCCCAUAAUGACAGAGGAUGAGCAAAGGACACCAAAAGACAUAGUUUUUUUCUGUACAACUUUCACGACUUUUAAAAAAAUGUUUUAGAUUUAACUCCAACUAAUUUCUCUUCAUUUUUUUUUUCCUAAAGUUUUGUUGCUGUUCUGGCAGGGACAGCGUGUCAGGGCUUUUGCCAGAUGUGAUUAAUUUGCUCUUUCUUUCUUUUUUUUUUAAGAAAAUGGUUUUACAUGAAUAUUACUGAAUGCAUGCAUUAAGCUGCACAGUUGAGCUGAUUUUCUUUAGGUUUUACAAUGUAUAAGAUUUCCAUUUCGUUUAUUUAUUUAAUAGAAGCAUCACAUGUGGUCUUAUG